GCCGUUAUAGCUCAGGGGUAGAGCACUUCCAUGGUAAGGAAGGGGUCGUCGGUUCAAUUCCGACUAACGGCU
This 72-nucleotide transfer RNA is filed under the name Fodinibius sediminis. It matches the Rfam family "tRNA". From Rfam's summary of the family: Transfer RNA (tRNA) molecules are approximately 80 nucleotides in length. Their secondary structure includes four short double-helical elements and three loops (D, anti-codon, and T loops). Further hydrogen bonds mediate the characteristic L-shaped molecular structure. tRNAs have two regions of fundamental functional importance: the anti-codon, which is responsible for specific mRNA codon recognition, and the 3' end, to which the tRNAs corresponding amino acid is attached (by aminoacyl-tRNA synthetases). tRNAs cope with the degeneracy of the genetic code in two manners: having more than one tRNA (with a specific anti-codon) for a particular amino acid; and 'wobble' base-pairing, i.e. permitting non-standard base-pairing at the 3rd anti-codon position. RNAcentral also lists the same sequence under 9 other names. The record is from Rfam by way of RNAcentral. Lineage: Bacteria; Pseudomonadati; Balneolota; Balneolia; Balneolales; Balneolaceae.